AUCCUUUUGUGGUCCACAGUAUGAUGCCUGGGUUUUCAUGCCAAUGUGAGAGAUGUGCCCCUCAAAACAUGUUACUAUGUGAACAUUUACCAGUCUGACU
Heterocephalus glaber (naked mole-rat) is the source of this 100-nucleotide small nucleolar RNA. NCBI's taxonomy places the organism in Eukaryota, Metazoa, Chordata, Mammalia, Rodentia, Bathyergidae. The record is from Ensembl.